ACUUUUCAAAUUUCAUUUAUUAGUUUACCUCAUUCCAUCAGCUAGAAACCGCAAAACUCCCCCUCCCCAAAUCGUGAGAAAUUAAACCGAUCUCUGUCACUCUCCUCUCUCUUAACAUUUCACCAACAACAAUCAUUUUUCAGUUUUCUCCUUGCUUCCUCGUCCACCUUGAGUCCUCAGUUUGUGAAGGGAAUUUAUGGAAAUUGACAUUGAUGAGCUUCUGGGUCACAAUUGGCCGGUGAGCAUUCCGACGAAGAGGCGAUUUACAUGUGAGGAUAUUGCAUGUCCGAGCAGACAGGUUGAAAUGAGAAGGAGCAGAAGUUAAGGAUCCCGAAGCAACUCUCCGGAGCUUUUUAGGUGCACGGCGGGGGCUAAUUGGUGGUGGCUGGACAUUGUUUGUGAUCGCGAGCACACCGCUUAUGCUGCCUCAGAUGGGUUGCUUUUUCUUGGGGUAAUUAAGCUUCAUUUUUUUAUUUUAUUGUUUUAAGUGAAAUGAUGAAGAAAAUUGUUGGGAUUAAUUGAUCAUUGUCUAAUGAAUUAUGAUGAAAUUAAUUUUGGGGCAUUGAUUUAAACAAAUUGCAUAAUGGGAGUUUAAUGUUCCUGCAUAAUUAUGUUUGAAUUAUAAGAGUAAAAGAACAAACUCGCGAGUCUGAUAUACGUGGUGUAAGUUUCUUUAUGUUUUGUUAUACUGCCACAUUGAAUUUCAGGAUCAGAGAAAGGUUUUGGUUGGAAGAAUUGGGUCAUAAGGUAUUGCUAUCUCUCUUGUUUGAACUGUAGUAAAUGAUAUUUCUAUCAUGGCGUACAUGACGAGUUGACUACCUAAGUGUUAUCUGGAAAAGGAGAAUUAAAGAUGAUUCCUUUGGUGGAUGUUGAACAAGUAUUGGUAUGUAUUGCAUCUAAUGCUAAAUGAAGUUUCAAUGUUCCUUGACUCUUUGAUCCUUAUAAUUUCAGGUGUCUUGGGUACUUUUUUGACAUGCACCGUGUACUCACUUGGAUCAUGAUUACUUGCCUUUUGUCUAAUUGACUUUGUGAAUUUGAAUUGUUUUGUAUAUGAUGUCCUUAAGUGAUGAGUUUUGAUUUCUAAGCUUUAUAUUUUUCCUUGUUUGUCUCAUAGGUGGUUGGUGGUUCUAAUUCAUGAGGGUUUAUAAUUCAAAUAUCAACUACUACGUUUGGGCACCUGCAAAUUUGAAUUGUGAUUGGCUUGCUAGAGAUGUGUGUUUUCUUGAAGAAAGGAUUGCAGAGAAGAUGAAUAUCAUUGGAGGACCAAGAAUGGAACUAGGACUUGAGUUUGUUUUAGAGUGAAACAAAGUCUACAUGUUUUGGUACACACUGUAGCAUAACUCAGUGAUUUGGUUUUCUUAAUAUAACUACUCAUUUUGUUGUUA
This is a non-coding RNA of Malus domestica (apple), 1385 nucleotides long. The record is from RefSeq and is a predicted model, not a curated record. NCBI's taxonomy places the organism in Eukaryota, Viridiplantae, Streptophyta, Magnoliopsida, Rosales, Rosaceae.